ACGGCAGCAGGCGCGGAACUUGCCCAAUGCGCGGCGCGCGAGGCAGCGACGGGGUGCGCGCGAGCGAGGCGGGCCCACAGCCCCCGCCGCGGAGCCGAGGGCAAGGUCUGGUGCCAGCAGCCGCGGUAAUUCCAGCUCGGCGAGCGUCGCGCGGCGCUGCUGCAGUUGAAACGCCCGUAGUUGGCCCCCCGCCGCCACGAGGAAACGGGAGCGCUCCAGGCAGGCCCGUUGGACCCGCCGCGUGGGACCGCGCAGCGGGCGCGGCGCGCCGCGGCAGCCCCGAGGAGAGCGGGCGGGGGCACCGGUACCGGCCGGGGACGGGUGAAACAGGAUGAUCCCGCCGAGACCGCCGGCCGCGCAGGCGCCUGCCAAGACCGCCUCUGUCAAUCAAGGGCGAAGGCCGGGGGCUAGAAGGCGAUCAGACACCACCGUAUUCCCGGCCGUAAACGGUGCCGCCCCGCGGCCGGCGCGCGCGUCCCGCCGGCCGCCCUGGGUAACCGGGAGGCUCCGGGCUCUGGGGGGAGAAUGGCCGCAAGGCUGAA
This 542-nucleotide ribosomal RNA is filed under the name Giardia duodenalis. RNAcentral's name for it is "SSU rRNA". It matches the Rfam family "Eukaryotic small subunit ribosomal RNA", at positions 422 to 1141 of the family's 1831-position model. Lineage: Eukaryota; Fornicata; Diplomonadida; Hexamitidae. The record is from RNAcentral.